RNAcentral lists this ribosomal RNA (618 nucleotides) under Triticum aestivum (bread wheat). Its description in RNAcentral is "partial small subunit ribosomal RNA". Lineage: Eukaryota; Viridiplantae; Streptophyta; Magnoliopsida; Poales; Poaceae. The record is from RNAcentral.
AUGGGAGACAAGUACACUUGGAGAAAUCAUAGCCAUGAAGCAAGUAAAUACAUAAAAGAGAGACUUGAUAGAGUUGUGGGGUCUCAGAAUUGGUGUACUAGAUUUCCAUCAUACAAGGUAAUAAUAGGGGAUCCGAGGCACUUAGACUACCGACCAGUGACUGUCUAUGUAGAAGGAACGGACAGAGCCAUGUGACACCAAGGAAAUGGUCAGUCUGAUUUCAGAUUCGAGGCGAAGUGGCUACAGGAAGAAGGUUGCGAGGAGGUCAUAAGCAACGCAUGGUAUACUGCAUACUUGAGGGGCGAAAAUAGCCUAUCACAAAAACUUAGAAGAGUGGCAGGAGACCUAAAGAGCUAGGAUACUAAUGUCCUAGGUGAUUUGGAGAAGAGGAUAAAGGCGAUUAAAGUCGAGUUGGAGAAGACGAGAAGGGCACCAAUAAACCAGGGCACAAUAGACCGAGAACACAUUCUGCGGGAAAAACUAGAGAGAUUAGAACAACAGCAAGACAUGUUUUGGAGGCAGAGAGCACAUGUUAAAUGGCUCCAAGAUGGUGACAAAAACACUGCUUUUUUCAUGCUUGUGCCUCGAGAGAGAAAAAAGAAAAAUACAGGAGGUUAA